AGAUUGAACGCUGGCGGCAGGCCUAACACAUGCAAGUCGAGCGGUAGAGAGGUGCUUGCACCUCUUGAGAGCGGCGGACGGGUGAGUAAUGCCUAGGAAUCUGCCUAGUGGUGGGGGAUAACGUUCGGAAACGGACGCUAAUACCGCAUACGUCCUACGGGAGAAAGCGGGGGACCUUCGGGCCUCGCGCCAUUAGAUGAGCCUAGGUCGGAUUAGCUAGUUGGUGAGGUAAUGCUCACCGAAGCGACGAUCCGUAACUGGUCUGAGAGGUAUGGAUCGAGUCACACUGGAACUGAGACACGGUCCAGACCGUCCGUACGGGAGCAGCAGGUGGGAAUAGUUGGACUAAGUGGGACGAAAGCCUAGACGUACCGA
RNAcentral lists this ribosomal RNA (375 nucleotides) under uncultured soil bacterium. RNAcentral's name for it is "bacterial SSU rRNA". It matches the Rfam family "Bacterial small subunit ribosomal RNA", at positions 26 to 395 of the family's 1533-position model. The record is from RNAcentral.